CCUACGGGAGGCAGCAGUGGGGAAUAUUGGUCAAUGGAGGCAACUCUGACCCAGCAACGCCGCGUGAGUGAUGAAGGUCUUCGGAUUGUAAAACUCUUUAAGUGGGGACGAAGAAAGUGACUGUUCCCACAUAAUAAGCCUCGGCUAACUACGUGCCAGCAGCCGCGGUAUUACGUCGGGGGCAAGCGUUAUCCGGAAUGACGGGGCGUACAGGGUGCGUAGGUGGUUCGGCAAGUUAGUAGCGUAAUUCCGGGGAUCAACCUCGGAAGUACUACUAAAACUGUUGGGCUUGAGUGCAGGAGGGGCAUAUGGAAUGCCUGGUGUAGCGGUGGAAUGCGUAGAUAUUAGGAAGAACACCAGUGGCGAAGGCGAUAUGCUGGACUGUAACUGACACUGAGGCACGAAAGCGUGGGUAGCAAACAGGAUUAGAUACCCCAGUAGUC
RNAcentral lists this ribosomal RNA (443 nucleotides) under uncultured bacterium. RNAcentral describes it as "partial 16S ribosomal RNA". It matches the Rfam family "Bacterial small subunit ribosomal RNA", at positions 338 to 795 of the family's 1533-position model. The record is from RNAcentral.